AACGAACGCUGGCGGCAUGCCUAACACAUGCAAGUCGAACGAACCCUUCGGGUCUAGUGGCGCACGGGUGCGUAACGCGUGGGAACCUUCCCUUAGGUUCGGAAUAACUCCCCGAAAGGGGUGCUAAUACCGGAUCAUGUCUUCGGACCAAAGAUUUAUCGCCCUUGGAUGGGCCCGCGUUGGAUUAGCUAGUUGGUAGGGUAAAAGCCUACCACGGCGACGAUCCAUAGCUGGUCUGAGAGGAUGAUCAGCCACACUGGGACUGAGACACGGCCCAGACUCCUACGGGAGGCAGCAGUGGGGAAUAUUGGACAAUGGGCGAAAGCCUGAUGCAGCAAUGCCGCGUGAGUGAUGAAGGCCGUAGGGUUGUAAAGCGCUUUUACCCGGGAUGAUAAUGACAGUACCGGGAGAAUAAGCUCCGGCUAACUCCGUG
This 433-nucleotide ribosomal RNA is filed under the name uncultured bacterium. Its description in RNAcentral is "partial 16S ribosomal RNA". It matches the Rfam family "Bacterial small subunit ribosomal RNA", at positions 29 to 507 of the family's 1533-position model. The record is from RNAcentral.